UACGUAGGGUCCGAGCGUUGUCCGGAUUUAUUGGGCGUAAAGAGCUCGUAGGCGGCUCGGUAAGUCGGAUGUGAAAACUCGGGGCUCAACCCCGAGACGCCAUCCGAUACUGCUGUGGCUUGAGUCUGGUAGGGGAACACGGAAUUCCUGGUGUAGCGGUGAAAUGCGCAGAUAUCAGGAGGAACACCAAUGGCGAAGGCAGUGUUCUGGGCCAGUACUGACGCUGAGGAGCGAAAGCGUGGGUAGCAAACAGG
This 254-nucleotide ribosomal RNA is filed under the name uncultured bacterium. RNAcentral describes it as "partial 16S ribosomal RNA". It matches the Rfam family "Bacterial small subunit ribosomal RNA", at positions 524 to 776 of the family's 1533-position model. The record is from RNAcentral.